This 440-nucleotide ribosomal RNA is filed under the name uncultured bacterium. RNAcentral describes it as "partial 16S ribosomal RNA". It matches the Rfam family "Bacterial small subunit ribosomal RNA", at positions 338 to 795 of the family's 1533-position model. The record is from RNAcentral.
CCUACGGGGCGCAGCAGUGGGGAAUAUUGCACAAUGGGGGAAACCCUGAUGCAGCGACGCCGCGUGAGUGAAGAAGUAUUUCGGUAUGUAAAGCUCUGUCAGCAGGGAAGAAAAUGACGGUACCUGAGUAAGAAGCCCCGGCUAACUACGUGCCAGCAGCCGCGGUAAUACGUAGGGGGCAAGCGUUAUCCGGAUUUACUGGGUGUAAAGGGAGCGUAGACGGCAGUGCAAGUCUGGAGUGAAAGGCGGGGGCUCAACCCCCGGACUGCUCUGGAAACUGUACGGCUGGAGUGCAGGAGAGGUAAGUGGAAGUCCUAGUGUAGCGGUGAAAUGCGUAGAUAUUAGGAGGAACACCAGUGGCGAAGGCGGCUUACUGGACUGUAACUGACGUUGAGGCUCGAAAGCGUGGGGAGCAAACAGGAUUAGAUACCCCAGUAGUC